GAAAGGCCCUUCGGGGUACUCGAGCGGCGAACGGGUGAGUAACACGUGAGUAACCUGCCCUGGACUUUGGGAUAACCCUCGGAAACGGGGGCUAAUACCGAAUACGACACAGCUUCGCAUGAGGUCUGUGUGGAAAGUUUUUUCGGUCUGGGAUGGACUCGCGGCCUAUCAGCUUGUUGGGGGGGUAAUGGCCUACCAAGGCGACGACGGGUAGCCGGCCUGAGAGGGCGACCGGCCACACUGGGACUGAGACACGGCCCAAACUCCUACGGGAGGCAGCAGGGGGGAAUAUUGCACAAUGGGCGGAAGCCUGAUGCAGCGACGCCGCGUGAGGGAUGACGGCCUUCGGGUUGUAAACCUCUUUCAGCAGGGACGAAGCGCAAGUGACGGUACCUGCAAAAAAAGCGCCGGCCAACUACGUGCCAGCAGCCGCGGUAAGACGUAGGGCGCGAGCGUUGUCCGGAUUUAUUGGGCGUAAAGAGCUCGUAGGCGGCUUGUCGCGUCGAAUGUGAAAACCCGAGGCUCAACUUCGGGCUUGCAUUCGAUACGGGCAGGCUAAAGUUCGGUAGGGGAGACUGGAAUUCCUGGUGUAGCGGUGAAAUGCGCAGAUAUCAGGAGGAACACCGGUGGCGAAGGCGGGUCUCUGGGCCGAUACUGACGCUGAGGAGCGAAAGCGUGGGGAGCGAACAGGAUUAGAUACCCUGGUAGUCCACGCUGUAAACGUUGGGCGCUAGGUGUGGGGACCCUCUCCGGGUUUC
Molecule: ribosomal RNA, 758 nt
Filed under: Actinoplanes sp.
Lineage: Bacteria; Bacillati; Actinomycetota; Actinomycetes; Micromonosporales; Micromonosporaceae
Description: bacterial SSU rRNA
Rfam family: Bacterial small subunit ribosomal RNA
Source: RNAcentral